RNAcentral lists this ribosomal RNA (253 nucleotides) under uncultured bacterium. RNAcentral's name for it is "partial 16S ribosomal RNA". It matches the Rfam family "Bacterial small subunit ribosomal RNA", at positions 524 to 776 of the family's 1533-position model. The record is from RNAcentral.
UACGAAGGGGGCUAGCGUUGUUCGGAAUCACUGGGCGUAAAGGGCACGUAGGCGGCCUGAUAAGUCGGGGGUGAAAGCCUGUGGCUCAACCACAGAAUUGCCUUCGAUACUGUUAGGCUUGAGACCGGAAGAGGUAAGUGGAACUGCGAGUGUAGAGGUGAAAUUCGUAGAUAUUCGCAAGAACACCAGUGGCGAAGGCGGCUUACUGGUCCGGUUCUGACGCUGAGGCGCGAAAGCGUGGGGAGCAAACAGG